UACGUAGGGUGCAAGCGUUGCCCGGAUUUAUUGGGCGUAAAGGGCGUGUAGGCGGACCGGCGCGUCCCGUGUGAAAGCCCCCGGCUCAACUGGGGAGGGUCACCGGUAACGGCCGAGCUACGAGUGCAGGAGAGGGAAGUGGAACUCCGGGAGUAGCGGUGAAAUGCGUAGAGACCCGGAGGAACACCAGUGGCGAAGGCGGCUUCCUGGUCUGCAACUGACGCUGUGGCGCGAAAGCUAGGGGAGCAAACGGG
RNAcentral lists this ribosomal RNA (254 nucleotides) under uncultured bacterium. RNAcentral describes it as "partial 16S ribosomal RNA". It matches the Rfam family "Bacterial small subunit ribosomal RNA", at positions 524 to 776 of the family's 1533-position model. The record is from RNAcentral.